This is a non-coding RNA of Trichonephila clavata, 72 nucleotides long. The record is from the annotation of a GenBank genome assembly. NCBI's taxonomy places the organism in Eukaryota, Metazoa, Arthropoda, Arachnida, Araneae, Nephilidae.
GUCCCUGUAGACUAAUGGAUAGUGCGUUGGACUUCUAAUCCAAAGGUCGGGGGUUAGUAUCCCCCUGGGAUG